UGUGAUUUGGUUUCUGUAAAUACAUUUCAAAGUUAACACAGAGUAACCAGAAACAUGAUCUAAUUUGCAUAUUCAUAUCCAGUUUGCAGCAAAUUUGCAGCAAACGGUAGAAUGUUCGCCACAAAUGUCCUAAAAUUGUUUGCCAGAAGUUCACAAGUUUCACAGUUUUCCACAACUAAAUUUGAAUACAUGAGCUUGCUGCUAAAUUUGUGGCAAAUUGGCCAAAGGUUUGCCCCAACUGUUGUCCGAAGCCAGUUUUUUUGGUAAGGGUUGGGAAAGUUGUCCUAGUCACUGUUGACUAGGGUCGGGUUUUCGAAACUAAGCAUUCAGUUAAUGUACUGACCAUGUCUUUUCCCCUGUUUCGCCUGUAGGGUGCAGCAGCAUAUAUAGUCAACUAUCUGAUGUUCAUGUUCUGGGCUCUACUCCCUUUCCUGGCUGUUAUAUUGGUCUGGGCCUUUGCAUCUUACGCCUGUGGAUCAGGAAUACCAGAGGAAAGAACACUCAUCCUGGCCACUACCCGGUGCUAGAGGUCCUGGUUGUAACUGGAGCUACAGCCCCACUAUCCUUCCCUAACAGACAAGGUUCGCAUGCGACAGGAGGAGGUGGUCAGUGCCUCAUUUAAUGUUCUUCAAGGAACACGUGCCCCCCCCCCUGGAAUUCACUCAAAUCUGGAAGAGCUCCCCUCCUCCUUCCAUCCCUCAUGCACUUCUCUAUGGGACUGUGAAGAGGACACCUGCCCUUUUGGACACCUCCUUUCCCCUGUCUCCUUGCAUCCCGGCAUCUCUCCUUUAAUCCACUGCCCCAUGGGAAUGGGAAGAGGACACCAUCCCCAUAGGAGCGAGACACAUGAAGACUGUCUUGCUUCCCUAAUAAAAGUUGGUACUCUCAAGGGAGGGAAGGAGAGAGUGUUGAAAAAUACGUGGCUACAGACAGAAGAUAUCAUAAUGGCAAAUCAUGAAGGAAUAUGUAUGAUGCUUUGAUACCACUGACACAGACAGGAUGGGAAAAGGAGGGGAAAGAGAGAAGUAGGGAUAAGAAGGGUGAGGAGAGGUGGUGGGAAAGUGCUGACUUAAGUCUUACUUAUACUAGCCACAGUUAGAAACAUAGUAUGGAGCCCCAAGCUAGCUCCAGCCUCCACCUUUCCCCGUCAGAAGACAUGCCCAGACAGAGCACUCCAUCCUGGGCUGAUGGAUGCUUGGGAGCCCCCCUGCCCUCGUUCUUCUGUUCUGGCUUCCUCUGCCCUCAGGGAAGGGGUAGGUUGGGAAAAGAGGAUUCAGACACUUGCGCACACUAAAACACACACCAAAGACUCUCUGGCUGCCUGGGAACUACUCCGAGACAUAUUGAACAGACUGCGAGAGCUGCAAUAUCGCACACAGAGAGAGAGAGAGAGAGAGAGAGAGAGAGAGAGAGAGAGACGUAAACACCAAUCUGUGCCUUCAGGAAUCUUUUAUACAGAUGUCUAUGGUCAUAAUCUCUGUGAGAAGGUAUCAUUAACAAGCAGUGUGUGUGUGUACGAACUGUGUGUCAAAGUGUGUGUGUAUGUAUGUGUCUAAGUGUGUGCGUGCUGAAGUAAAGCUAGAACACAAAAGGGAAACAUCAGUUUAGUAUUCCUCCUAAAAUUGUCCCCAUUACUGCAUAGGUAUGUUUCCAUGACAACCUUGUUGCCUUCGUCAAUUUGAUACGCAACAGGCGUGGGAAAAGGAUGACAACACACACACUGACAAACUGUCCGGUUAUUUGAAUACAAUGCAGUUAAGUACAGGUGACUCCCACAGCUACAACAUAAUGCUAUAGAGAGCUAAAGGGACAAAGAGACUUCACAUGGUGAUCAGGUUACUGACCUGCUCAGAUUCACACAUUCCUCAAACACCUACUUGUUGGAAGACACACACAGGGACACACACGUGUGCGUGUGUUUGAGUCUGCGCUUAUGUGUCCUUAGGUGUGGGAAUAUUUUACAAAAAGUGAAAGUUUGCCAAUAUGGAACAGUUUCUGAGUUGAAAGAUCUAACAUUAAGGAAGUUCACACACACCCAUGUUCCAAGUUAGUCAAGUUGUCAGUUUAACCUUGUCAGUUUAAAUUGUUUGUCAAGUUGCUAAUUUAACAUGGUCAGCUUAAAUUAGUCAAGUUGUCGGUUUAACCUUGUCAGGAAUCUUGUGGUCUUUUCUCUUCUCUUUUUCUGAUUCUUAAAUCUUUUUUGAAUUGUGAAUAAAAUGGGAAUGAAUUCUGAAUCGAAUUGUAAUGAAAUGGAACCCAGCAAACUGUAGUGUAGUUCUUUGAUCCAACGACUAAGGGUUACUCGUGCACAUACACACAGACGCUGUAUUGCUGUACUGAAGAUACUGUUAGUAAGGUAGGGGUCUCACAAAACUGUGUGUGUGUGAGAGCUGGGGUAUCUGUGUGUGUUUGUGUGUCGAUGAGUUCUUGGGAUGCCUUGUGUUUAUAAUCAUCAAUGUUAUCGGAUUAUCUCAUAAUUGUAUCCUUAUGUUCUUGUAGGAAAAACCAAUUAAAU
Long non-coding RNA from Oncorhynchus tshawytscha (Chinook salmon), 2515 nucleotides. Lineage: Eukaryota; Metazoa; Chordata; Actinopteri; Salmoniformes; Salmonidae. The record is from Ensembl.